Molecule: small RNA, 751 nt
Filed under: Pongo abelii (Sumatran orangutan)
Lineage: Eukaryota; Metazoa; Chordata; Mammalia; Primates; Hominidae
Description: processed transcript
Source: RNAcentral
GAUCAGCCUGAGCCACGGCCGCGUCGUCUACAGCCCCGGGGAGCCGCUGGCUGGGACCGUGCGCGUGCGCUUGGGGGCACCGCUGCCGUUCCGAGCCAUCCGGGUGACCUGCACAGGUUCCUGCGGGGUCUCCAACAAGGCUAAUGACACAGCGUGGGUAGUGGAGGAGGGUUACUUCAACAGUUCCCUGUCGCUGGCAGACAAGGGCCUCUUGAGGCCUGUCCCCACCGCCCCCCACCUCCCUCCUGUCUCUGCAGGGAGCCUGCCCGCUGGAGAGCACAGCUUCCCCUUCCAGUUCCUGCUUCCUGCCACAGCACCCACGUCCUUUGAGGGUCCUUUUGGGAAGAUCGUGCACCAGGUGAGGGCCACCAUCCACACGCCACGGUUUUCCAAGGAUCACAAGUGCAGCCUCGUGUUCUAUAUCUUGAGCCCCUUGAACCUGAACAGCAUCCCAGACAUUGAGCAACCCAACGUGGCCUCUGCCACCAAGAAGUUCUCCUACAAGCUGGUGAAGACGGGCAGCGUGGUCCUCACAGCCAGCACUGAUCUCCGCGGCUAUGUGGUGGGGCAGGCACUGCAGCUGCAUGCCGACAUUGAGAACCAGUCAGGCAAGGACACCAGCCCUGUGGUGGCCAGUCUGCUGCAGAAAGUGUCCUAUAAGGCCAAGCGCUGGAUCCACGACGUACGGACCAUCGCAGAGGUGGAGGGUGCGGGCGUCAAGGCCUGGCGGCGGGCGCAGUGGCACGAGCAG